This 607-nucleotide unclassified non-coding RNA is filed under the name Hevea brasiliensis (rubber tree). Lineage: Eukaryota; Viridiplantae; Streptophyta; Magnoliopsida; Malpighiales; Euphorbiaceae. The record is from RNAcentral.
AAGAAAGAACAAAGGGAGGGGGAAUCUCUCACUUUUUCUACCCUUUCAUACCUGGCUUCUCUAUAAAUUAGCAAGUAUCUCAACUUCUAAGAAGAGGCAGAAAUUUUCAGCCUUAUGAUAUUGGCCUCUUAUUGCUAUUGAGGCGAAGAACCUCAUUUACUAGCUUCUCUGGUAAUUCUUUUCUAGUCUGAAAGUGUCUCAUGUGCAGUAUCGGUUCACAUCCAACAUCUGCAAUUGAUCUUCCGCUGGGAGUUUGCACUUUAAAUCGCUCAGCCUCAUAUGCCACAAUGGCAUUUUUCUCAUCAGGCAGGUGCUGGCAAACUUCUAUAAGGGAAUUAAGAGAGUUCAUCUUCAUAUAUGGACAGGAAGCACAGCCACCAUGAAUAGAACAUCCCUCCCCGCUAGUAACUCCUGGUACAACAGGUAACAUGAAGUCCCCUUUGUUUACUGAUUUUAGACCAGGAGAUGAAUUUGGUGAUGUUCUUGUUAUCGAGUCUGAUGAGACGGGAAAAACAAUUUCAACAUUAAUUUUGGCAUCCCCAGAAGACUUUGCAGAACCUAACAAAUGCUGAACUGCAGCAACAAUUGAAGUGAUCAUUCCUGAUUC